GCACCAGGGCUGAAAGAGAGUAAUGGAGAAGAAAACCAUAGCUGAUGUUGAAGUUAAUGACAUGAUCAAGGCAGGCAUGUCAAUGGAGGAGGCCAAAGAAUUUCACAAAAUCCUCAAACAAACGAUUGGUGAAGCGAAAGGGUCAGACGCCAGAGAGGUUUGGCAAAAGGUGGUGGCUAAGAGAAUGCUAAUGCCUUGGCAUCCACAUCGUCUGCACCAACUCAUCUACUAUUCUGUCUAUGCUCACUGGGAUGCCUCCAUUAAUGGACCUCCUCUUUAUUGGUUUCCUUCUCUAUCUCAGUCAAAAUAUACAAACUUAGGACGUGCAAUGGAAAUUUAUGGUCCUGAGUUCUUAGGAGCUUCAUACAAGGAUCCUGUAACAAGUUUUAGGCUCUUUCAGAAAUACUCUGUUCAACAUCCUGAUGAUUAUUGGUCAAUUAUUCUGAGAGAGCUUUCGAUUGUAUUUCAUGAAGUUCCAAAGUGUAUUAUUGACACCACCAAUAAAUCAAAACACGGAGGGAAAUGGCUACCAGGUUCAGUUCUGAAUAUUGCUGAAUGCUGUUUGCAGCCUUCCAGUCAUCCUAGAAAAAAUGAUGACAGUGUGGCUAUUGUAUGGAGUGAUGAAAGUGAUAAUUCCAAAGUGAAUCACAUGACAUUAAAAGAACUUCGAGAACAAGUAAUGUUGGUGGCUAAUGCUUUGGAUGCAACAUUUGCAAAAGGCGAUGCAAUUGCUAUUGACAUGCCAAUGACAGUCAGUGCUGUUGUAAUAUACCUGGCCAUUGUAUUAGCAGGGUUUGUUGUUGUAUCUAUAGCUGAUAGCUUUGCGGCCAAGGAAAUUGCGAGUCGUUUACGCAUUUCCGAUGCUAAAGCUAUCUUUACUCAGGAUUAUAUAAUCAGAGGAGGUCGGAAAUUUCCUUUGUACAGUCGCGUAGUAGAGGCUAAUCCACAUAAAGCCAUCGUGAUCCCAGCAAUAGGGAGUGAUGUAGGCAUUGAAUUAAGACAACAGGAUCUGUCAUGGAAAGAUUUUCUGUCAAGUGUCAAUCACCUUCUAAGACCAAAUUAUUGCUGUCCUAUUUAUCAACCAGUAGAUUCUAUCACUAAUAUACUCUUUUCAUCUGGAACCACAGGAGAACCAAAAGCUAUAUUAUGGACCCAACUUUCUCCAAUUCGAUGUGCUAGCGAUGCGUGGGCUCACAUUGAUAUUCAAGUUGGUGAUGUUUACUGCUGGCCCACAAAUUUAGGAUGGGUGAUGGGACCAAUUUUACUUUACUCAUGCUUUCUAAAUGGAGCAACACUUGCUCUCUUUCAUGGAUCUCCUCUUGGCCGUGGGUUUGGAAAAUUUGUUCAGGAUGCUGGAGUUACUGUUUUGGGUACAGUUCCAAGUUUAGUGAAAGCUUGGAAGAGUACCAACUGUACGGAAGGAUUAGACUGGACAAAGAUAAAAUCCUUCUGUUCCACUGGAGAAUCCUCCAAUGUUGAUGAUGACCUUUGGCUUUCUUCAAGAGCUUAUUACAAGCCUAUUAUUGAAUGUUGUGGAGGCACAGAGCUUGCAUCAUCCUAUAUCCAAGGAUGUCCACUUCAGCCACAAGCUUUUGGAGCAUUCAGCACUGCAUCAAUGACAACAGGCUUUGUCAUCCUUGAUGAAAAUGGAGUUCCUUAUCCUGAUGAUCAACCUUGUGUUGGUGAAGUGGGUUUAUUCCCUCUAUACCUUGGUGCAAGCGAUAGGUUGCUUAAUGCUGAUCAUUACAAAGUGUACUUCAAGGGAAUGCCAAUGUUUAAGGGAAUGCAUCUCAGGAGACAUGGAGACAUACUUAAGAGAACUGUUGGAGGGUAUUUCAUUGUACAGGGCAGAGCUGAUGACACCAUGAAUCUUGGUGGCAUUAAGACAAGUUCUGUUGAAAUUGAGCGUGUGUGUGAUCGGGCUGAUGAAGACAUCAUGGAGACUGCUGCAAUUAGUGUAGCACCAGUAGAUGGUGGUCCAGAACUCUUAGUAAUUUUUGUAGUUCUAAAGAAGGGAUUCAAUGUUGAACCAGACAAGUUGAAAAUGAAAUUCUCCAAAGCCAUCCAAAGCAAUCUCAAUCCCCUGUUCAAGGUGAGCUUUGUUAAGAUUGUCCCUGAGUUUCCUCGAACUGCUUCUAACAAGUUAUUAAGAAGAGUACUGAGGGAUCAAAUGAAGCAUGAGUUAUCCCUACGCAGUAAAAUCUAGCGUGAGAAUCAUAAAAAUAUUUGUACAUUUCAUUUGAAGAAGUUGCAUAUUCAUGUAACAUGUCUGAAAUGUUUGUUGUAAUUCUUGUGAUGUAAUAGUUCGUUGCUGAAUGUGAGCUUUCAUUGGUGGCCAUCCAUCAAAACUGGAAUAAGAAGUUUCAUAGUCCCACACAUAGAAUGACCUACCAGCUUUCUAUAUUUUAUU
Molecule: unclassified non-coding RNA, 2410 nt
Filed under: Hevea brasiliensis (rubber tree)
Lineage: Eukaryota; Viridiplantae; Streptophyta; Magnoliopsida; Malpighiales; Euphorbiaceae
Source: RNAcentral